CCCGUGGCGGCGUACUAUACAUGCAAGUCGAGCGGACAGAUGGGAGCUUGCUCCCUGAUGUUAGCGGCGGACGGGUGAGUAACACGUGGGUAACCUGCCUGUAAGACUGGGAUAACUCCGGGAAACCGGGGCUAAUACCGGAUGGUUGUUUGAACCGCAUGGUUCAGACAUAAAAGGUGGCUUCGGCUACCACUUACAGAUGGACCCGCGGCGCAUUAGCUAGUUGGUGAGGUAACGGCUCACCAAGGCGACGAUGCGUAGCCGACCUGAGAGGGUGAUCGGCCACACUGGGACUGAGACACGGCCCAGACUCCUACGGGAGGCAGCAGUAGGGAAUCUUCCGCAAUGGACGAAAGUCUGACGGAGCAACGCCGCGUGAGUGAUGAAGGUUUUCGGAUCGUAAAGCUCUGUUGUUAGGGAAGAACAAGUGCCGUUCAAAUAGGGCGGCACCUUGACGGUACCUAACCAGAAAGCCACGGCUAACUACGUGCCAGCAGCCGCGGUAAUACGUAGGUGGCAAGCGUUGUCCGGAAUUAUUGGGCGUAAAGGGCUCGCAGGCGGUUUCUUAAGUCUGAUGUGAAAGCCCCCGGCUCAACCGGGGAGGGUCAUUGGAAACUGGGGAACUUGAGUGCAGAAGAGGAGAGUGGAAUUCCACGUGUAGCGGUGAAAUGCGUAGAGAUGUGGAGGAACACCAGUGGCGAAGGCGACUCUCUGGUCUGUAACUGACGCUGAGGAGCGAAAGCGUGGGGAGCGAACAGGAUUAGAUACCCUGGUAGUCCACGCCGUAAACGAUGAGUGCUAAGUGUUAGGGGGUUUCCGCCCCUUAGUGCUGCAGCUAACGCAUUAAGCACUCCGCCUGGGGAGUACGGUCGCAAGACUGAAACUCAAAGGAAUUGACGGGGGCCCGCACAAGCGGUGGAGCAUGUGGUUUAAUUCGAAGCAACGCGAAGAACCUUACCAGGUCUUGACAUCCUCUGACAAUCCUAGAGAUAGGACGUCCCCUUCGGGGGCAGAGUGACAGGUGGUGCAUGGUUGUCGUCAGCUCGUGUCGUGAGAUGUUGGGUUAAGUCCCGCACGAGCGCAACCCUUUGAUU
This 1094-nucleotide ribosomal RNA is filed under the name Bacillus velezensis. Its description in RNAcentral is "bacterial SSU rRNA". It matches the Rfam family "Bacterial small subunit ribosomal RNA", at positions 36 to 1111 of the family's 1533-position model. Lineage: Bacteria; Bacillati; Bacillota; Bacilli; Caryophanales; Bacillaceae. The record is from RNAcentral.